AGAAAAAAAAAAAAAAAAAGGUGACUUGUUGAAGGUGCAAAACAUUGGGCAAAAUCCCAAAGGGACUUGGUUUUAUCUUUAGCCCCUAGUUUUUCAGGUCUGAGUCUGAUCAGUUCUGUUGUCUAGGGUGGAAAGUCUUGAGCCUUCUUUCUCCCCAAGGUUAAUAUUUUUGUUUUUUAUAUCCCUUGCUGCUGAUUGUUUUUUAUGUCCCGGAGGGAAAGGUGGGAGACCCUGAAAAUGUUACCAGUGGCAGAACAGUUGUGAAUGUGACUUCCUCCCUUGCUUGGAAGCGUCAGGCGUGAGGGUUAAGAACAUGGAUUUCAGCUAGACCCAGGUUUCCAUCCUGCCUGUGCUGCUUUCUUUUUCCUCUUACUUAUUUUUUUCCAGCUUUAUUGAGGCAUAGUCAACAAAUAAAGAGGGUAUGUUUUUAAGGAAAGCAAUGGGGUGAUUCGGUUUACAUAUACAUUGUGAAAUGAUCAUCACGAUCAAGUAAAUUAACCUAUCUGUCACCUCACAGAGUUGCUACUUUUUUGUGUGUGUGGGGAGAACACUUAAGAUCUACUCUCAGCAAAUUUCAAACCUGUAAUACGCUAUUGUUAACUGUCGUCACCACGUGGUACCUAACAUCCCUGAACUUACUCAUCUUCCAACGGAACGCUCUCCUCUCUGACCGCUGUCUCCCCGGCUUCCCCCUCCCCUGCAACCACUGCUCUGUUCUCUCCUUUUCUAUGCGUUUGACAUUCUUAGAGUCCACAUAUAAGUGAGAUUGUACACUGUUUUUUCUGUGUCCGGCUUAUUUCACUUAGCAUAAUGCCUUACAGCUUCAUCCACGUUGUCACACAUCUGCCUCUGCCUCUAACAAGCUGUGUGACUUUGGGCAAGUAAUUUAAUCUCUCUGCCCUCACCUGUGAAAUGGGUUAGUCAUAGUACUACUACCUUGUAGUUUGUUGAGGAUUGAGUGGGGUAAUAUAUGUAAAGUCUUCAGCACAUGGAUGCUAUCACCAUUAUCAUCACCAUCACUGUCACCAUCAUCAUCAUCAUCACAUCACCAUCAUCAUCACCAUCAUCACAUCACCAUCAUCACAUCAUCACCAUCACCAUCAUCAUCACAUCAUCGUCAUCACCAUCAUCACAUCAUCAUCAUCAUCACAUCACCAUCAUCAUCACCACCAUCAUCACAUCAUCGUUAUCACCAUCAUCACAUCACAUCAUCAUCAUCACAUCACCAUCAUCAUCACCACAUCAUCACCAUCAUCAUCACCACCAUCAUCACAUCAUCGUCAUCACCAUCAUCACAUCACAUCAUCAUCCAUCAUCACAUCAUCAUCACCACCACCACCAUCAUCAUCAACAUCAUCAUCAGUAUUGUUAGUGGAAGGCCUCCCAGAAGACCAGGAGUAUAGUCUUGGCUUUGCCGUUGUUAACACUUGGUGGUCCCAGAUAUGUUGUGCAACCUCUCUGAACCUCAGUAUUAUUUUCCCUAAAGCAAAGGAGUGGUACAGAUGCUUCACACU
Molecule: long non-coding RNA, 1514 nt
Filed under: Sus scrofa (pig)
Lineage: Eukaryota; Metazoa; Chordata; Mammalia; Artiodactyla; Suidae
Description: lncRNA (ENSSSCG00025015153.1)
Source: RNAcentral